ACGGGAGGCAGCAGUGGGGAAUAUUGCACACUGGGGGAAACCCUGAUGCAGCGACGCCGCGUGAGUGAAGAAGUAUUUCGGUAUGUAAAGCUCUAUCAGCAGGGAAGAAAAUGACGGUACCUGACUAAGAAGCCCCGGCUAACUACGUGCCAGCAGCUGCGGUAAUACGUAGGGGGCAAGCGUUAUCCGGAUUUAUUGGGUUUAAAGGGUGCGCAGGCGGGCGAUUAAGUCAGCGGUGAAAUCUCGGAGCUCAACUCUGAAACUGCCGUUGAUACUGGUUGUCUUGAGUCAUGUCGAGGAUGGCGGAAUGCAGCGUGUAGCGGUGAAAUGCUUAGAUAUGCUGCAGAACUCCGAUUGCGAAGGCAGCUGUCCAGAGAUGAACUGACGCUCAGGCACGAAAGCAUGGGUAUCAAACAGGAUUAGAUACCCUGGUA
Molecule: ribosomal RNA, 434 nt
Filed under: uncultured Anaerostipes sp.
Lineage: Bacteria; Bacillati; Bacillota; Clostridia; Lachnospirales; Lachnospiraceae
Description: partial 16S ribosomal RNA
Rfam family: Bacterial small subunit ribosomal RNA
Source: RNAcentral